RNAcentral lists this ribosomal RNA (492 nucleotides) under uncultured bacterium. RNAcentral's name for it is "partial 16S ribosomal RNA". It matches the Rfam family "Bacterial small subunit ribosomal RNA", at positions 29 to 507 of the family's 1533-position model. The record is from RNAcentral.
AGUGAACGCUGGCGGUAGGCCUAACACAUGCAAGUCGAACGGCAGCACAGUAAGAGCUUGUUCUUACGGGUGGCGAGUGGCGGACGGGUGAGGAAUACAUCGGAAUCUACUUUUUCGUGGGGGACAACGUAGGGAAACUUACGCUAAUACCGCAUACGACCUACGGGUGAAAGCAGGGGAUCUUCGGACCUUGCGCGUUUGGAUGAGCCGAUGUCGGAUUAGCUAGUUGGCGGGGUAAAGGCCCACCAAGGCGACGAUCCGUAGCUGGUCUGAGAGGAUGAUCAGCCACACUGGAACUGAGACACGGUCCAGACUCCUACGGGAGGCAGCAGUGGGGAAUAUUGGACAAUGGGCGCAAGCCUGAUCCAGCCAUACCGCGUGGGUGAAGAAGGCCUUCGGGUUGUAAAACCCUUUUGUUGGGAAAGAAAAGCAGCAGGUUAAUACCCCGCUGUUCUGACGGUACCCAAAGAAUAAGCACCGGCUAACUUCGUG